AAUUUGGGUCUGCUAGACUACAAACUACAAACUUCGAUUUAGCAGAUCAAAUUGAAAAAUUGUCUGCUAGACUACAAACUACAGAAAAAUAGUUAGCAGACCCACCGAAUUUCCAAAAAUUUUGGUCUGCUAAACUACAAACUACAA
This is a non-coding RNA of Caenorhabditis elegans, 147 nucleotides long. The record is from Ensembl. NCBI's taxonomy places the organism in Eukaryota, Metazoa, Nematoda, Chromadorea, Rhabditida, Rhabditidae.